UUGACCUCAAAUCAGGUAGGACUACCCGCUGAACUUAAGCAUAUCAAUAAGCGGAGGAAAAGAAACUAACAAGGAUUCCCCUAGUAACUGCGAGUGAAGCGGGAAAAGCUCAAAUUUGAAAUCUGGCAGUCUUUUUUUUCUUCUUUGGCUGUCCGAGUUGUAAUCUAGAGAAGUGCUUACCUGCACUGGACCG
RNAcentral lists this ribosomal RNA (193 nucleotides) under Amanita sp. 'kryorhodon'. RNAcentral's name for it is "partial 28S ribosomal RNA". It matches the Rfam family "Eukaryotic large subunit ribosomal RNA", at positions 1 to 178 of the family's 3401-position model. The record is from RNAcentral. Lineage: Eukaryota; Fungi; Basidiomycota; Agaricomycetes; Agaricales; Amanitaceae.